GGAGGGGUGGCCGAGCGGCUUAAGGCAGCGGUCUUGAAAACCGCCGACGGGAAACUGUCCGAGAGUUCGAAUCUCUCCUCCUCCGCCA
RNAcentral lists this transfer RNA (88 nucleotides) under Morganella morganii. Its description in RNAcentral is "tRNA-Ser". It matches the Rfam family "tRNA". From Rfam's summary of the family: Transfer RNA (tRNA) molecules are approximately 80 nucleotides in length. Lineage: Bacteria; Pseudomonadati; Pseudomonadota; Gammaproteobacteria; Enterobacterales; Morganellaceae. The record is from RNAcentral.